CUGUUUUCUGCGUGUCAAGUAUUUAUUCCUAUGACCAUGAGAUCAUAUAACUUACUGACACCGGAGGAAUGCUUUGUGUGUAUCAAACGUCGCAACGUAACUGGGUGACUAUAAAGAUGCUCUACAGGUAUCUCCGAAGGUGUUAGUUGAGUUAGUAUGGAUCAAGACUGGGAUUUGUACCAUAUUAUAAGCCUUCCCAGCUCCACAUACAUCUCCAUCGUGUGUUUGACACCACCUGGCAAUCGCUAUAUCCAACCUUCGAGAGUUUUGACUACACCGGUUGCCGAUCGCCACCUGCUGCUGGGUAAGAAUUUGUAAGAAAUUGAGAUUUGCUUGACAGAUUUGUGACACAC
Molecule: long non-coding RNA, 353 nt
Filed under: Hordeum vulgare
Lineage: Eukaryota; Viridiplantae; Streptophyta; Magnoliopsida; Poales; Poaceae
Description: long non-coding RNA (HVUL_LNC009864)
Source: RNAcentral